This 466-nucleotide ribosomal RNA is filed under the name uncultured bacterium. RNAcentral's name for it is "partial 16S ribosomal RNA". It matches the Rfam family "Bacterial small subunit ribosomal RNA", at positions 28 to 507 of the family's 1533-position model. The record is from RNAcentral.
GACGAACGCUGGCGGUGUGCUUAACACAUGCCAGUCGAACGGUAAGGCCCUUUCGGGGGUCCACGAGUGGCGAACGGGUGAGUAACACGUGAGUAACCUGCCCUCAUCUCUGGGAUAACAGUCGGAAACGGUUGCUAAUACUGGAUAUGAGCUUGCAAGGCAUCUUGUGGGUUGGAAAGAUUUUUUUGGUUGGGGAUGGACUCGCGGCCUAUCAGCUUGUUGGUGAGGUAGUGGCUCACCAAGGCUUCGACGGGUAGCCGGCCUGAGAGGGCGACCGGCCACAUUGGGACUGAGAUACGGCCCAAACUCCUACGGGAGGCAGCAGUGGGGAAUAUUGCACAAUGGACGGAAGUCUGAUGCAGCAACGCCGCGUGCGGGAUGACGGCCUUCGGGUUGGAAACCGCUUUCAAUUGUGACGAAGCUUUUUGUGACGGUAGCAGUAGAAGAAGCACCGGCUAACUACGUG